CCUACGGGAGGCAGCAGUGAGGAAUAUUGGUCAAUGGACGCAAGUCUGAACCAGCCAUGCCGCGUGCAGGAAGACGGCUCUCUGAGUUGUACACUGCUUUUGUACGAGGGUAAACGCAGAUACGCGUAUCUGUCUGAAAGUAUCGUACGAAUAAGGAUCGGCUAACUCUGUGCCAGCAGCCGCGGUAAUACGGAGGAUUCAAGCGUUAUCCGGAUUUAUUGGGUUUAAAGGGUGCGUAGGCGGUCGGAUAAGUUAGAGGUGAAAUCCCGAGGCUCAACUUCGGAAUUGCCUCGGAUACUGUUCGGCUAGAGAGUAGGUGCGGUAGGCGGAAUGUAUGGUGUAGCGGUGAAAUGCUUAGAGAUCAUACAGAACACCGAUUGCGAAGGCAGCUUACCAAGCUACUUCUGACGUUGAGGCACGAAAGCGUGGGGAGCAAACAGGAUUAGAUACCCCAGUAGUC
RNAcentral lists this ribosomal RNA (460 nucleotides) under uncultured bacterium. RNAcentral's name for it is "partial 16S ribosomal RNA". It matches the Rfam family "Bacterial small subunit ribosomal RNA", at positions 338 to 795 of the family's 1533-position model. The record is from RNAcentral.